CAAGUUGAGAAGAUGCUGCAAGAUUCAGCUUGUCUCUGGAGAGGAUGAGCUUCCUCGGUUGGAGGAACUCAGGACAGAUGCUGCCUGCGGUGCAAGAUCUUUGUGGCUCAGGACCCCAAUAUCUCCUGGAAUGUCUCUCCCAAAAUGAAAGCCUCUGGCCACUUAGAUCUUCAUCUAAGCCCUUCUCCAGGUCCCUCCUUCGAGGGAGGCUCAGAAGAUGGUGACAAAGGAGAAGGCCUUUCCACUGGCAACUUCUCAUCUGUGGAGCCACAUCUUCUGGCUGCAAAUUUCAUACUUUUAACAUUAAAGCUCUUUCACCUCCACCC
Long non-coding RNA from Podarcis muralis (Common wall lizard), 326 nucleotides. RefSeq lists it as uncharacterized. The record is from RefSeq and is a predicted model, not a curated record. NCBI's taxonomy places the organism in Eukaryota, Metazoa, Chordata, Lepidosauria, Squamata, Lacertidae.